RNAcentral lists this ribosomal RNA (165 nucleotides) under uncultured bacterium. RNAcentral describes it as "partial 16S rRNA". It matches the Rfam family "Bacterial small subunit ribosomal RNA", at positions 355 to 511 of the family's 1533-position model. The record is from RNAcentral.
UAGGGAAUCUUCGGCAGUGGGGGCAACCCUGACCGAGCAACGCCGCGUGAGUGAAGAAGGUUUUCGGAUCGUAAAGCUCUGUUGUAAGAGAAGAACGUGUGUGAGAGUGGAAAGUUCACACAGUGACGGUAACUUACCAGAAAGGGACGGCUAACUACGUGUCAG